RNAcentral lists this ribosomal RNA (384 nucleotides) under uncultured prokaryote. RNAcentral's name for it is "bacterial SSU rRNA". It matches the Rfam family "Archaeal small subunit ribosomal RNA", at positions 341 to 725 of the family's 1478-position model. The record is from RNAcentral.
GCGAAAACUUUACAAUGCUGGCAACAGCGAUAAGGGAACCUCGAGUGCCAGGUUACAAAUCUGGCUGUCGAGAUGCCUAAAAAGCAUUUCAUAGCAAGGGCCGGGCAAGACCGGUGCCAGCCGCCGCGGUAACACCGGCGGCUCGAGUGGUAACCGUUAUUAUUGGGUCUAAAGGGUCUGUAGCCGGCCGGAUAAGUCUCAUGAGAAAGCUGGCAGCUUAACUGUUGGGCUUUCAGGAGAUACUGUCUGGCUCGAGGCCGGGAGAGGUGAGAGGUACUUCAGGGGUAGGGGUGAAAUCUUGUAAACCUUGAAGGACCACCAGUGGCGAAGGCGUCUCACCAGAACGGACCUGACGGCAAGGGACGAAAGCUAGGGGCACGAACC